Molecule: ribosomal RNA, 510 nt
Filed under: Pachydactylus bicolor
Lineage: Eukaryota; Metazoa; Chordata; Lepidosauria; Squamata; Gekkonidae
Description: partial 16S ribosomal RNA
Source: RNAcentral
CGUAGGACAUUGAUCGUUGAACAAACGAACCUUUGGUAGCGGCUUCACCACCGGGGUGUCCUGAUCCAACAUCGAGGUCGUAAACCCCCCUGUCGAUAUGGACUCUUGAGGGGGAUGGCGCUGUUAUCCCUGGGGUAACUUGGUUCGGUUAUCAGUGUUACUGGGUCAACGGGUUUGUUUUGUUUGGCCUGUGGGCCAUGCAGUGGGUGUCAGCCAAGUUUCAUGGAGGUUCUUUUUUUCUCCGUAGUCGCCCCAACUUAAAAUUUAUACUAUUGGUCUAUGGUUUAUGCCUUUUGGCUAAUGGGGGUUUGAUUAGGUAGUGGUAUGUUUAAAGCUCCACAGGGUCUUCUCGUCUUGUGUUGAUAUUUCAGCUUUUGUACUGAGAGAUCAGUUUCAUUGAUUGGCUACAGGGGACAGUAAGACCCUCAAUUAACCGUUCAUACGGGUCUUUAUUUAGAAGACAAGUGAUUACGCUACCUUUGCACGGUUAUAAUACCGCGGCCGUUGAAU